GAAAGAGAAAAAAAUAAAAUGAAAUAACGAAAUAACAUUGUUGAAGGAGUAUGAUUUUAGUAUUUUUUUUUUUUUUUUUUUUU
RNAcentral lists this non-coding RNA (83 nucleotides) under Chattonella subsalsa. Lineage: Eukaryota; Raphidophyceae; Chattonellales; Chattonellaceae. The record is from RNAcentral.